RNAcentral lists this ribosomal RNA (429 nucleotides) under bacterium. RNAcentral describes it as "partial 16S ribosomal RNA". It matches the Rfam family "Bacterial small subunit ribosomal RNA", at positions 355 to 776 of the family's 1533-position model. The record is from RNAcentral.
UAGGGAAUCUUCGGCAAUGGGGGCAACCCUGACCGAGCAACGCCGCGUGAGUGAAGAAGGUUUUCGGAUCGUAAAGCUCUGUUGUAAGAGAAGAACGUGUGUGAGAGUGGAAAGUUCACACAGUGACGGUAACUUACCAGAAAGGGACGGCUAACUACGUGCCAGCAGCCGCGGUAAUACGUAGGUCCCUAGCGUUGUCCGGAUUUAUUGGGCGUAAAGCGAGCGCAGGCGGUUUAAUAAGUCUGAAGUUAAAGGCAGUGGCUUAACCAUUGUUCGAUUUGGAAACUGUUAAACUUGAGUGCAGAAGGGGAGAGUGGAAUUCCAUGUGUAGCGGUGAAAUGCGUAGAUAUAUGGAGGAACACCGGUGGCGAAAGCGGCUCUCUGGUCUGUAACUGACGCUGAGGCUCGAAAGCGUGGGGAGCAAACAGG